CAGACGCUCUUAUCCAGAGCGACUUACAGGAGCAAUUAGGGUUAAGUGCCUUGCUCAAGGGCACAUUUAGCACGUACACCCCUGCCAUCAACUUGGAUCGGGAGUACUGGGAGAACAGAGCCGGUUCCCUGUGCAGCAGAAGUUGUGCCCAGCUGCAUUGAUGCACCUCCUCCACCAGCAUCAAAAAAAGGAAGGCAGCUGAUGUUGAGGCCUGGAAGGGGUUGAGGGAGCUACUCCACAUGCCUGCUGUGGAGCUGGAAUGUCCUCCACCCAACGCCAUCUGCAGUGUGUGUAGAGUUUUGGAGGAGGCUGAGCUAUGGUGCUGUGGGGAUUGUGGCUCAGAUAAAUAUUUCUGUGCCACCUGUGCUGUGAGAACACACAGCACUCCCAACAUUGGCCACCAGUUGGAGUUAUGGAAGGCCACUGCAUGCAGUGACGUGUACCUGGAUGGUGACACUGCCUGACUGAAUACUGUGGCCUUAAGUGGUACUGGAUGCAAGGGCCUUACCUGGGAGUACAGCAACUCUCGCACAGCCAUUCUGGCAACAUGUAUUGUAAGUAACCACUCAUUCAUACAAACUGCUAGGGAUGCAAUCACUCACUUCUAUUCACUUUGUCUACUUGUCCCAUUCAAUCUUGUCUGGGAUAUAUAUUUUAGUUGACACCUGUGUGAUGUCUGAUAUACAUGAAUAAAAAUGUAUUCACCCUGGACAUAAGUAUUGCAUUCAUUUUAAACCUUUUCAAUCAUAAGCGAAG
Molecule: long non-coding RNA, 756 nt
Organism: Coregonus clupeaformis (lake whitefish)
Lineage: Eukaryota; Metazoa; Chordata; Actinopteri; Salmoniformes; Salmonidae
Exons: 3
Source: RefSeq, a predicted model, not a curated record